CCUGGCUUAGGACGAACGCUGGCGGCGUGCCUAAUACAUGCAAGUCGAACGGCUUUUCUAUGGAAGCUUGCUUCCACUGAGAAGAUAGUGGCGAACGGGUGAGUAACACGUGGGUAACCUGCCCAUAAGAGGGGGAUAACAUCCGGAAACGGGUGCUAAUACCGCAUAGUUUUCUUGAUCGCAUGAUUGAGAAAGGAAAGACGGCCUUUGUGCUGUCGCUUAUGGAUGGACCCGCGGCGUAUUAGUUAGUUGGUGAGGUAACGGCUCACCAAGACGAUGAUACGUAGCCGACCUGAGAGGGUGAUCGGCCACAUUGGGACUGAGACACGGCCCAAACUCCUACGGGAGGCAGCAGUAGGGAAUCUUCCGCAAUGGACGAAAGUCUGACGGAGCAACGCCGCGUGAGUGAAGAAAAGGGUUUUCGGAUCGUAAAACUCUGUUGUCAGAGAAGAACAAGUUGGAGAGUAACUGCUCCAGCCUUGACGGUAUCUGACCAGAAAGCCACGGCUAACUACGUGCCAGCCGCUGC
Molecule: ribosomal RNA, 529 nt
Filed under: uncultured bacterium
Lineage: Bacteria
Description: bacterial SSU rRNA
Rfam family: Bacterial small subunit ribosomal RNA
Source: RNAcentral